Molecule: ribosomal RNA, 551 nt
Filed under: uncultured beta proteobacterium
Lineage: Bacteria; Pseudomonadati; Pseudomonadota; Betaproteobacteria
Description: bacterial SSU rRNA
Rfam family: Bacterial small subunit ribosomal RNA
Source: RNAcentral
UGGGGAAUUUUGGACAAUGGGGGCAACCCUGAUCCAGCCAUGCCGCGUGAGUGAAGAAGGCCUUCGGGUUGUAAAGCUCUUUCGGUGGGAACGAAACGGGCAGCGCUAAUACCGCUGCUCAAUGACGGUACUCACAGAAGAAGCACCGGCUAACUACGUGCCAGCAGCCGCGGUAAUACGUAGGGUGCGAGCGUUAAUCGGAAUUACUGGGCGUAAAGCGUGCGCAGGCGGUUUGCCAAGCUCGAUGUGAAAGCCCCGGGCUUAACCUGGGAAUUGCAUUGAGGACUGGCAGGCUCGAGUGCGGCAGAGGGGGGUGGAAUUCCACGUGUAGCAGUGAAAUGCGUAGAGAUGUGGAGGAACACCGAUGGCGAAGGCAGCCCCCUGGGCCGACACUGACGCUCAUGCACGAAAGCGUGGGGAGCAAACAGGAUUAGAUACCCUGGUAGUCCACGCCCUAAACGAUGUCGACUGGUUGUUGGGGAAGGCAACUUCCUUAGUAACGAAGCUAACGCGUGAAGUCGACCGCCUGGGGAGUACGGCCGCAAGGUUAA